UACGGGGGGGGCAAGCGUUGUUCGGAAUUACUGGGCGUAAAGGGUUCGUAGGUGGCCCGCUAAGUCAGACGUGAAAUCCCUCAGCUCAACUGAGGAACUGCGUCUGAGACUGGCAGGCUCGAGUGCAGGAGAGGAACGCGGAAUUCCAGGUGUAGCGGUGAAAUGCGUAGAUAUCUGGAGGAACACCGGUGGCGAAGGCGGCGUUCUGGACUGCUACUGACACUGAACAACGAAGGCCAGGGGAGCAAACGGG
This 253-nucleotide ribosomal RNA is filed under the name uncultured Acidobacteriota bacterium. Its description in RNAcentral is "uncultured Acidobacteria bacterium partial 16S ribosomal RNA". It matches the Rfam family "Bacterial small subunit ribosomal RNA", at positions 524 to 776 of the family's 1533-position model. The record is from RNAcentral. Lineage: Bacteria; Pseudomonadati; Acidobacteriota.